UACGUAUGGGGCUAGCGUUGUUCGGAUUUACUGGGCGUAAAGGGCUUGUAGGUGGUGAGGUAAGUCGGGUGUGAAAUUUCCGGGCUUAACCCGGGAACUGCACUCGAAACUAUCUCGCUAGAGUACCGGAGAGGGAAACGGAAUUCCUGGUGUAGGGGUGAAAUCUGUAGAUAUCAGGAAGAACACCGGUGGCGAAGGCGGUUUCCUGGCCGGAUACUGACACUGAGGAGCGAAAGCUAGGGGAGCAAACAGG
Molecule: ribosomal RNA, 253 nt
Filed under: uncultured bacterium
Lineage: Bacteria
Description: partial 16S ribosomal RNA
Rfam family: Bacterial small subunit ribosomal RNA
Source: RNAcentral